GCCAAUGUGGUAUAGUGGUUUGAGCACUGGACUACAACUCUGGAGACCAGGGUUUGAAUCCUAGCUUGGCCA
This 72-nucleotide transfer RNA is filed under the name Phrynosoma platyrhinos (Desert horned lizard). RNAcentral's name for it is "tRNA-OTHER". Lineage: Eukaryota; Metazoa; Chordata; Lepidosauria; Squamata; Phrynosomatidae. The record is from RNAcentral.